Ipomoea triloba (trilobed morning glory) is the source of this 1107-nucleotide long non-coding RNA. RefSeq lists it as uncharacterized. Lineage: Eukaryota; Viridiplantae; Streptophyta; Magnoliopsida; Solanales; Convolvulaceae. The record is from RefSeq and is a predicted model, not a curated record. The transcript has 2 exons.
UUAAUAUUAUGAAAAAAUGAAUUAAAAAUAAUUUCAGUCAAGCAUGUUAACCGAACCGGACACAUAAAAUUGGACGGAGGGAGUAUAUGUAUAAAGCUGGCGUCAUUUGACAAAAUCGAAUGCUUCGAAAUGAAAUACAAAUACUAGCGCGUGUUGAGGAGCCGAUGCAGAGUUUCUUUGAAAAAUUAAAGCUUAACCCAUUGGCCCAUUUUCCGAAGUCUAUGCUGCUUUGAGGAAAAUAGUUAUGACAUUCUCAGGAUAAAUAUUAAUUUUUUUUUGGUGAGGAUGAUAAAUAUUAAUAUUUCAAGACAGGUAUGAUUUCAUCAUAAUAACUUUUGUAUUUUGUGUCUUCGACUUAUUGUUGUUUGUGCGGAGUGUACUAAUGUGAAAGUGGCUUUGGACAUUUUGCCUUUUUUCUGUACUAAGCAUUAUGUCUUCUUGGAUGCAAAGAACUAUGUCUUGGACCCAAACUUUAAUUCUUUAUAAUUUUUUAAUUUUAAUUUUUAAAACCUAUUGAUCUUGUGAAGAGUAUUGUAAAUUUACUACGUUAUACUAACUGGGUUUCACACCUCAAGGAUUUGUAUUGGAAAAAUGAAGAUAAGAGCGUCACCAGAUCAGAUCAAUAUAUUUCAAGGAUCUCUUCAAUCAAUGUGGACUAUACAUUUAUACAGUGAAGGAUCAGAAGGGAUUUCCUGAUGAAUUAUUUGCCGUAAAGAUGUAUGCAUUGUGAAUUAUUGGCCGUAAAGAUGUAUGCAUUGACAACUGAGAUGCCAAGACUACCCACCGGUAAAUCUAAAUCUAAGCGGCUGUCUAAUAGACUUGCCAUCAUCCAGUGAAGAAUAUGGUCUUGGCUUCUGAAAUUCUGUUUUUUUUCUUUUGGAGGCAAUUUUGAGUGGUUUCAAACUACUCUUUGACCAUCUCUCUAAUAUAAGGGAGUUACUAAUUGGGUAGUCUGUUACUGAAAAUAACAUUUCUUUUAUGUGUUAGAGUCUUGAAGAUUAGAAGCAUGGCUUGUUUUAAAUAUGAGACUGACCCUUAUGGUAGUGAAUUAUUAUUAUUCUAUGAAUAUGAACAUUCAAGUUGUGUGAAUGAUUAUUAUUUGAUGAA